This is a long non-coding RNA of Myodes glareolus (Bank vole), 1169 nucleotides long. RefSeq lists it as uncharacterized. The record is from RefSeq and is a predicted model, not a curated record. NCBI's taxonomy places the organism in Eukaryota, Metazoa, Chordata, Mammalia, Rodentia, Cricetidae.
UAGUGAGAUGGUCCUCAACAUGAAGACGUGGGGUGGAUUCUCAGAACCCUCAUGGUGGAGAAAGAGGACCGACUCUCACAUGUGGUCCCCAGCCUUCUGUAUGUGCACAAUGGCAUCCUUACAUACACUAAGGUUAUGUGUUGCCCCCUCCCUUCCCAAGGCACACACUGGCAGGAAUGCAGUUAAACUCCACUCUCCGACUUCCCGAGGCCAAGUUCCGUCGUUUUAUCCCAGAAGAGGCUUUCAGCGCAGAAUCGGCUAGAAACUCACUGCCACAGACAUGGUGACUGCAGAGAUUCGGAUCCAGGGGGACAUUCAUAGCGUGAAGUCUCUGCUGAGCAACUUCCGAUUCCAUGACUCCGAUGCUGGGCUUCAUGACCACCAUGCCACCCAGGACCGUUCCUAUGACGUCAUCACUGGCUUUGGAAAGAGAAAGACUGGAAUUUUUGGUGGGCUUUGCGCCCUCUGCUGGAUAGCUGCUGAAUAGCCUUUAGCCUUCUGCAGCAAUCUGAUUCUCACCAGUGUGGCUGGAUUAAUCUCCUUCUUACCAGUGAGGUUGGAUUGUGGUUCCUGUCGAGCGCUCCCUGAUUCUGGCCACAUUCAAGGAUUUAUACUCUUGCGGCCUGGGUCUUUACAGGCACUAAAACUUUAUCUCCAGUUCUAACUUUAGGACGAGAAAUUGUUUAAAAGUUUGAAACAAGGGACUAAAGAGAUGGCUCAGCAGUUAAGAGCACCGAGUUAAAUUCCUAGCACCCAUAUCUUGUGGCUCUCAACUUUCUGUAACUCCAGCUCCUCCUUGGGCCGCUGCAGGCAUCGUACUCGUGUACAAACUCACACUCAAACACACUUAUCUACAUUGUUAAAAAUAAAAUUAUAAUGCCGGCUUUAGUCCCUGCACUCUGAAGUCAGAGGCAGGAAGAGAUCUGUGGGUUUCAGAGCUCUGUAUAGUCCAGGCAGGACUCUAUAGUGAGACCCCAAACAAACAAAAUCAAACCAAAGACAAAACCCAAUAACAAACACCCCUUCAAUGAAAUAUGAUAAGUAAACAAGCAAACGAACAAAUUAACAAAGGGACAUUUGAAACAAACAAAUGAUUUUGUUUGAUGUCUGUUUAUGGGCAUUCUCGGUGAAUUUUAAAAAACCAUGUAGGUUUUGUUUGGCAAACAUUU